RNAcentral lists this ribosomal RNA (253 nucleotides) under uncultured bacterium. Its description in RNAcentral is "partial 16S ribosomal RNA". It matches the Rfam family "Bacterial small subunit ribosomal RNA", at positions 524 to 776 of the family's 1533-position model. The record is from RNAcentral.
UACGUAGGGUGCAAGCGUUGUCCGGAAUUAUUGGGCGUAAAGAGCUCGUAGGCGGUCUGUCGCGUCGGAUGUGAAAACCCAGGGCUCAACCCUGGGCCUGCAUUCGAUACGGGCAGACUAGAGUUCGGUAGGGGAGACUGGAAUUCCUGGUGUAGCGGUGAAAUGCGCAGAUAUCAGGAGGAACACCGGUGGCGAAGGCGGGUCUCUGGGCCAUAACUGACGCUGAGGAGCGAAAGCAUGGGGAGCGAACAGG